AGAGUUGAUCCUGCUCNGACGAACGCUGGCGGCGUGAAUAGGCAUGCAAGUCGCGCGACGCACCUUCGGGUGACGAGCGGCGAACGGGUGAGUAACACGUGAACAAUCUGUCCCCCCAUUCCGGAUAAUUGGUCGAAAGACCUUGUAAUACGGGCGAGGAUCAUUCUUAGGCAUCUUUGAAUGAAGGAAGGCGCAAGAUUUAUCUUGUGUCGUGUGGGGAGGAGUUCGCGGCCUAUCAGGUAGUUGGUGGGGUAAUGGCCUACCAAGCCUACGACGGGUAGCUGGUCUGAGAGGAUGGUCAGCCACAUUGGGACUGAGACACUGCCCAGACUCCUACGGGAGGCUGCAGUCGAGAAUCUUGGGCAAUGCACGAAAGUGUGACCCAGCGACGCCGCGUGAAGGAUGAAGGCCCUUGGGUCGUAAACUUCUUUUAUGGGGGAAGAAUCAAUGACGGUACCCCAUGAAUAAGCCACGGCUAACUACGUGCCAGCAGCCGCGGUAAUACGUAGGUGGCAAGCGUUGUCCGGAUUUACUGGGCGUAAAGCGUGCGCAGGCGGACUUUUAAGUAGAAAGUGAAAGGUUGGAGCUCAACUCCGACACUGCUUCCUAUACUGGGAGUCUUGAAUGCCGGAGAGGAAGAUGGAACGACACGUGUAGCGGUGAAAUGCGUUGAGAUGUGUCGGAAUACCAAUGGCGAAAGCAAUCUUCUGGACGGAUAUUGACGCUCAUGCACGAAAGCUAAGGUAGCAAACAGG
RNAcentral lists this ribosomal RNA (755 nucleotides) under uncultured bacterium. Its description in RNAcentral is "bacterial SSU rRNA". It matches the Rfam family "Bacterial small subunit ribosomal RNA", at positions 9 to 776 of the family's 1533-position model. The record is from RNAcentral.